RNAcentral lists this ribosomal RNA (111 nucleotides) under Caerostris darwini. Lineage: Eukaryota; Metazoa; Arthropoda; Arachnida; Araneae; Araneidae. The record is from RNAcentral.
AACGGCCGUACCAUGCUGAAUAUACCGGUUCUCGUUAGAUCACCGAAGUUAAGCAUCAUUGGGCGCGGUCAGUACUUGGGUGGGUGACCACCUGGGAACACUGCCUGCCGU